Molecule: long non-coding RNA, 441 nt
Filed under: Prunus dulcis (almond)
Lineage: Eukaryota; Viridiplantae; Streptophyta; Magnoliopsida; Rosales; Rosaceae
Description: sRNA ncRNA
Source: RNAcentral
AUGACCUUAGCUCCCGAAGAUGACAGAGACGGUAUAGGAUGUGUGAAGAGUGCAAACAACCAAACCUAUGGCCAUAACCUUGUCCUCCAAGCCAAGUUGCAACAACUCAGGACACAGUUUCCACAUGCUGUCAUCACCUAUGCUGAUUACUGGAAUGCAUAUUUCACAGUCAUGAAGAAUCCAAACCAGUAUGGUUUCAAUGGUUUCUAGGAGAGCUUCAAGGCCUGCUGUGGGACAGGUGACCCCUACAACUUUGAGGUGUUUGCCGUGUGUGGCACGCCGUCUGCUAGUGCCUGUCCAAGCCCUUCCCAGUACAUAAACUGGGAUGGAGUUCAUCUCACUGAAGCCAUGUACAAGGUGCUUACUGAUAUGUUCCUCAAUGGCAAGGCCACUCACCCUUCCUUCAGUUACUUGUUGGACAUGAAACUGCGUCGCGAAUGA